This 484-nucleotide ribosomal RNA is filed under the name uncultured bacterium. RNAcentral's name for it is "partial 16S ribosomal RNA". It matches the Rfam family "Bacterial small subunit ribosomal RNA", at positions 30 to 507 of the family's 1533-position model. The record is from RNAcentral.
UUGAACGCUGGCGGCAGGCUUAACACAUGCAAGUCGAGCGGGGAAAGGUAGCUUGCUACCUGACCUAGCGGCGGACGGGUGAGUAAUGCUUAGGAAUCUGCCUAUUAGUGGGGGACAACAUCUCGAAAGGGAUGCUAAUACCGCAUACGUCCUACGGGAGAAAGCAGGGGACCUUCGGGCCUUGCGCUAAUAGAUGAGCCUAAGUCGGAUUAGCUAGUUGGUGGGGUAAAGGCCUACCAAGGCGACGAUCUGUAGCGGGUCUGAGAGGAUGAUCCGCCACACUGGGACUGAGACACGGCCCAGACUCCUACGGGAGGCAGCAGUGGGGAAUAUUGGACAAUGGGGGGAACCCUGAUCCAGCCAUGCCGCGUGUGUGAAGAAGGCCUUUUGGUUGUAAAGCACUUUAAGCGAGGAGGAGGCUACCGAGAUUAAUACUCUUGGAUAGUGGACGUUACUCGCAGAAUAAGCACCGGCUAACUCUGUG